Molecule: long non-coding RNA, 879 nt
Organism: Diospyros lotus (date-plum)
Lineage: Eukaryota; Viridiplantae; Streptophyta; Magnoliopsida; Ericales; Ebenaceae
Exons: 2
Source: RefSeq, a predicted model, not a curated record
GAAAACCCCAACUAGCCUUCUCAAAGCUAUGCAUCCAUUUACACCACCUUUCCCCAAAGAAUUCAUCUCAAGGACUUUGUAUGAAAACCCCAACUAUCCUUCUCAAAGCUAUGCAUCUUGUAACACUUACUAGGUUAGACUCCUGCUGCUUGCUUCAUCAAUUAAAAUUCUAUAUUGAAAAUGUUCAACAAAUAUAGAUUUCGCUUGCAUAUAUUUGCAGGUGCUGUCAAUCAAGAUUUUUUUUUUUCUUGGCUAAGAAGAAAGGAUACAAGAAAGGAAACAAUAAACAGAAGCAGGGCAACAAAGGAGAAAAUUAACAGGAAACUUUCUGUCUCCACCUGCUCAAUCAAGCAUUCUGGUAUACAAGGAGGAAAAAUCAGUCCUUCAACCUUGGAUCUAAAGUUCCAAGCUGCAAGGCCAUGGGCAAGCUGAUUUGCAUUUCAAUUAAUUUGCAGUGAGAUGCUUAAUUUGGCAGUGACUACCCAUCCUGUUGCACGUUUUCACGCUUUAUCUGGAUUUUAUGCUGUUUACACUAUGCUAAAUUUGGAGUCAAGGGCAAAUUUGACGAAGAUUUGGGAGAAGGGGCAACAGAUAUGUUCAAAAUCAUGGCAUGAGUUGAACAAUAUUUCUGGAAACCAAAAGUAUGCUGCACAAUAUUGUUUUCGGGUUCCCUAUUUGGCAUCGUUGAUUGAGGAUUCUCUUUGUCUCAGUGACAAGGAGAUCAUUUUUGGACCAGGAGAUGUUUCUUGGACAAUGGGAGCUGCAUUGGUAGAAGGGGAGUUGUUGUGGCGUAGUUCUUCCAGAGAUGAGACUAGCAUUUUAACUCGAACGAAUACUGGGGUAAUCUCUAAGUCCAUUUUUUUGUUGUUUGUUCUUGUA